CCUGGCUCAGGACGAACGCUGGCGGCGUGCUUAACACAUGCAAGUCGAACGGAGAUUCAGCAAUGGAUCUUAGUGGCGAACGGGUGAGUAACGCGUAGGCAAUCUGCCUUCUAGAUGGGGACAACAUCCCGAAAGGGGUGCUAAUACCGAAUGUUGUACCGUUUCCGCAUGGAGAUGAUACUAAAGGUGGCCUCUGAAUAUGCUACCGCUAGAAGAUGAGCCUGCGUCUGAUUAGCUAGUUGGAGGGGUAACGGCCCACCAAGGCUUCGAUCAGUAGCCGGUCUGAGAGGAUGAACGGCCACACUGGGACUGAGACACGGCCCAGACUCCUACGGGAGGCAGCAGUGGGGAAUCUUCCGCAAUGGACGAAAGUCUGACGGAGCAACGCCGCGUGAGUGAAGAAGGUUUUCGGAUCGUAAAGCUCUUUCGUUAGGGACGAACGUGCUCUUUGUGAAUAAUGAGGAGUAAUGACGGU
RNAcentral lists this ribosomal RNA (475 nucleotides) under uncultured Veillonellaceae bacterium. RNAcentral describes it as "bacterial SSU rRNA". It matches the Rfam family "Bacterial small subunit ribosomal RNA", at positions 18 to 476 of the family's 1533-position model. The record is from RNAcentral. Lineage: Bacteria; Bacillati; Bacillota; Negativicutes; Veillonellales; Veillonellaceae.